RNAcentral lists this ribosomal RNA (494 nucleotides) under uncultured bacterium. RNAcentral describes it as "partial 16S ribosomal RNA". It matches the Rfam family "Bacterial small subunit ribosomal RNA", at positions 28 to 507 of the family's 1533-position model. The record is from RNAcentral.
GACGAACGCUGGCGGCGUGCUUAACACAUGCAAGUCGAACGGAAAGGCCUGCUUUCCCUUGUGGAUUGCGGGUACUCGAGUGGCGAACGGGUGAGUAACACGCGAGUGAUCUGCCCCCAACUUGGGUAUAAGCCUGGGAAACUGGGUCUAAUUCCCGAUAGGACUGCAGGGUGGUGCCUGUGGUGGAAAACGAUUUUCUAGUGGUUGGGGAUGAGCUCGCGGCCUAUCAGCUUGUUGGUGGGGUAAUGGCCUACCAAGGCGGCGACGGGUAGCCGGCCUGAGAGGGUGGACGGCCACAUUGGGACUGAGAUACGGCCCAGACUCCUACGGGAGGCAGCAGUGGGGAAUAUUGCACAAUGGGCGGAAGCCUGAUGCAGCGACGCCGCGUGGGGGAUGACGGCCUUCGGGUGGUAAACUCCUUUCGACCGCGAGGAAGCCACCUGGUUGGAAGGGUGGUGACGGUAGUGGUAGAAGAAGCACCGGCUAACUACGUG